AGCAGUUCUACGUUCCCAUAAUAUUCUGUUGGAGUCAAUAACAGUAACCACAGCCUGGAGUUUCCUGUUGCUAAUGGUAAGAUUUUGUGAGUAAAGUCUGGUUGGAAAUGUCAACAAUGGAAACAAGCCAUAAAUGCGAAGGCAGGUAUUUAGCAUUGGAGGGGGGUCGCAAAGAAGGUCUUCGGUGCCUAAUGUGUUAAACAGCUUUAGAUUUUGUUAGUAAGGGAAG
Pelobates cultripes (western spadefoot toad) is the source of this 229-nucleotide non-coding RNA. NCBI's taxonomy places the organism in Eukaryota, Metazoa, Chordata, Amphibia, Anura, Pelobatidae. The record is from the annotation of a GenBank genome assembly.